GUCAUCCAGUGAUGAGGUGUGCAACAAGCACUGAGCAGUGUCUGACACAUGGGGAGUCCCUCUGCACUGCAUUUCUCCUGAGAGCAGC
This 88-nucleotide small nucleolar RNA is filed under the name Nestor notabilis (Kea). Its description in RNAcentral is "Small nucleolar RNA U83B". It matches the Rfam family "Small nucleolar RNA U83B". Rfam says of the family: U83B belongs to the C/D family of snoRNAs. U83B like U83A has no documented RNA target and they share the same host gene with the C/D box snoRNA U43 (RPL3). Lineage: Eukaryota; Metazoa; Chordata; Aves; Psittaciformes; Psittacidae. The record is from Rfam by way of RNAcentral.